Long non-coding RNA from Orcinus orca (killer whale), 1875 nucleotides. RefSeq lists it as uncharacterized. The record is from RefSeq and is a predicted model, not a curated record. NCBI's taxonomy places the organism in Eukaryota, Metazoa, Chordata, Mammalia, Artiodactyla, Delphinidae. The transcript has 2 exons.
UAAACCCCGCCGGACUGCUAGUGAGAUGAGAUUUGCAGUCACCAGAGGCAGGGGAGAGGAGGGGGUAACGCUGGAGGAAGGUGGUCGGAACGAACAGACGUCCGGCUGCAGGAAGAAUAGGACGAAGGCUGUGAUGCCCAGCGCGGUGACCAUAGUUUACACUCUGCCCUACGGUGUACAGGAAAGCUGCUAAGAGAGGACAUCCUAAGAGCUCUCAUCACAAGGAGAAAUGUAUUUUCUCUUUUUCUUCCUUUUCUGUGUCUGUAUGAGAUGCUGACUGUUCAGUAAACUUAUCAUGAUGAUCAUUUCACAAUCUACGUAAGUCAGGUCAUCACGUUGUACACCUCAAACUUACACAGCAAUGCACGUCAACGAUUUCCCAGUAAAACUGGAAAAAGUAAGAUAAAAAGGAAAUCUGUCCUGUCCCCACAUCUAGUCCCUUCCUCUCUCCGCAAAGCGUCAGACCCGGUCCCCUCCUCCGUCAGCCCCGCCAGCCCUCCGCGCGCCCUGAGCAACCCCAGGAGGCCCAGGCCCCUCUGAGGAUGCGCACCGGCAGGCUUGCGCCCUGAAUCUCUGAAAGCUCCACAUCUUAUCUAACUUUCACAGAACACGAAAUAUCACGUGGCUGUGAACUUGGGUCUGAGCCACAGCCCUGGCGUUAGGGAUUCCACGCCGUGACAGAGGGAGAGAAUUCCACCGUGAACGCGCGGAUUCUGAGCAGAUGCGGGAACAGCUGACCCGGGAGCCCGGGCUCCAAGCAGGUGGCGGAGGCUCUGGACGCAGGGAGCCUGGUCGGAGGCACAGUGAGAGCAGCGGGUCAGGCCCUGCAGCGCCAGGCGGCUGAGUCCACGCCUGCAAGCCGCUCCCCAGUGGAGCCCGGCCAGGGCGGAUGGCUGCCAGACAGCCGGGCGGAUGAGUCAGCCCCGGAAAUAAUCCGGCUGGGACCCAGUGGGACAGCAGAGAACAGAAGGGUCAGGAGCAACAGGGAUGCACAUGAAAGACACCUUGACAGAGGAAGGUGACCUAGUGGAGGAUCCGUGAGGAAAGGCGGGGAGACGCUGUGCAGACGUGUCAUCUCGCGCGGGCGUGUGUACCUGCAGGACUACUGGGCUUCUGUCGCCUGAGAUGGGGGAUCCGACAGGCUGUGUCCUGUCACCCCUCCCCUCGUGGCACCGAAUGCACGUGACUGUCCCCGCAGGACAGAGAAAAGCGUCCCGACCCAGGGCACCUGCCUGCAGAGUGACGGGGCCACGCUGAAGGGCCCCCGGCGGGAUAAUCCCCCCGCAGGGCGACAUCCCCGCUUCCUCUCCUGAGCCCGCUGCUGCCGGAGGAGAUGCUGGGUUACGCAGGGGUUCGGUACGCUGUCCUGACACCUUGCUCUGAAGGCUUACUGGCCCCUGGCCGCUCCAGGUGGCUGGGAGGACGUGGGUCAGGCAGGGACAGGCAUUUACUGCAAGACAGCGAGGGUGAUGUGGACGGAAACGUGGGCGGAAAGGGGCUGCGCGACAUGGAGGACAUUGAUUUUGCCUGCUCCAGAGGCUGCAGCGUGGCCCCGGUGGGCGGGGACAGUGGCCCCAGCAAAGCCCAUUCUGGGAAAAUGUCCCGUCCUCUCCAGAGUCACCGGCGUGCCGGCGGGUCUCAGAGCAGUGCCCUGGCCAGCGCCCAGCCUUGCGGCUAGACCAGCAACGUGGCUGCAACCUCCUGUGCAUUUGUACUGGGUCCCACUGACUUGCCAUCCAAGAUCGGGUUUGAAAAUGUAUUUUUACAUAAUAUCACCCAAUCACUGUCUUCUUAAAGGUAUGCGGCAUCAAAGAAUGCCAUUGACUGUGAUUUAUAGCAUGACGUUGAAAAAAUGCAAAUGUAUUUGUACCUCUA